Molecule: ribosomal RNA, 164 nt
Filed under: uncultured bacterium
Lineage: Bacteria
Description: partial 16S rRNA
Rfam family: Bacterial small subunit ribosomal RNA
Source: RNAcentral
UAGGGAAUCUUCCACAAUGGGCGCAAGCCUGAUGGAGCAACGCCGCGUGAGUGAAGAAGGUCUUCGGAUCGUAAAACUCUGUUGUUGGAGAAGAACAUGCAGGAGAGUAACUGUUCUUGUAUUGACGGUAUCUAACCAGAAAGCCACGGCUAACUACGUGCCAG